RNAcentral lists this ribosomal RNA (492 nucleotides) under uncultured bacterium. RNAcentral describes it as "partial 16S ribosomal RNA". It matches the Rfam family "Bacterial small subunit ribosomal RNA", at positions 29 to 507 of the family's 1533-position model. The record is from RNAcentral.
AGUGAACGCUGGCGGCAUGCCUAACACAUGCAAGUCGAACGACCGCACAGUGAGAUCUUUCUCUUACGGUUGGCGAGUGACGGACGAGUGACACAUAAAUCGCAAUCUACUUUUUCUUGGGUAAUAACGUAGGAAAACUUACGCUAAUACCUCAUACGACCUACGGCUUGAAUCAGUAGUUCUUCGCACCUUUCCCGACUGUAUGAGCCGAUGUCGGAUUAGCUAGUUGGCUGGGUAAGGUCCCACCAAGGCGACGAUCCGUAGCGGGUCUGAGAGGAUGAUCAGCCACACUGGAACUGAGACACGGUCCAGACUCCUACGGGAGGCAGCAGUGGGGAAUAUUGGACAAUGGGCGAAAGCCUGAUCCAGCAAUACCGCGUGAGUGAAGAAGGUCUUCGGGUUGUAAAGCCCUUUUGUUGGGAAAGAAAAGAAGUAGGAUAAUCCAUCGAUGUUCUGACGGUACCCAAAGAAUAAGCAACGGCUAACUUCGUG